AAAUUGUAUUAUUAUGCCACUCAUUUAUAUAGGGCCAUUAAAGUGACUAGUGCACAGCCUUGAAACUGUUUCAGAAAGUCAAAUCUCUCCAUCGCAACCACAGAGCACAGUGGUGUCUCAGAGAUAUGAAGUUGUGAAAGGUGUGAAUGCUGGCACAAAAGUCAGCCAGCAAUCACUUUCAGUUUUAGUCUGCACACCUCUCGACCUUAACAACACCGACAAUGAGCAAAGAGUGGAUAGCGUGCUUGAAAAAUCAGCUGAAGAAGAGUCCUUUUUAUUCAAAUGCAAUUAUUGGCUUUUUAAUGGUGGGACUUGAGAAACUCGUGGAGAUGGACUUUGCAUGUCCUUGUAAACCAGCGAUGAACCUGCUGUUUUCUGCAGCAUAUUUUGUGGUUCCUGCUCUGUUCUCCAGCGCACUCAUGUUUUAUAUUCAAAGCCCACAAUGCAAAACAAAGUGUCUGCUCUCCACGGUAACCUGCAUCAUUCCAGCGGUUGUUUGGAUCAUGCUGCUGCUCUUUGAUGGACAAUACUUUGCCUGUGCGAAAACCUCCUGGGAAGGACUGACGGUUCACACGGAUAUAUCUGCUUCAACAACAUGGUGUCAGCCUUUGAUCAAUUCUAACAACAUCACUGAAAAGCAAAUGGCAUUUUUUGGCUUUCGAAAUACUUCUCAGAUAGUGGCACUGGCCAUGCUGGCUCUGAGCUCUCUGCCCCUAUUUAUAAUUGGAUGUAUGAGGUGUCGCCAUCAAACAGCAGGAACCAAAGAACCUGAAGCUGAACAAGUGGAAAUGGUGGAUCCUGGUCAAAGUUCAACUCCCCCUCGUGAAAGAUCUUCAUUAAUGGAGGAUGAACGAGGUGCAUCUUCUGAACAGCUGUAAAUACAGAAGCUUUAAACAGAGGUUUUGCAAAGCACCAUUAAUUGUCACAAACCUCAUGUUUAAAAUGGUACAAAAAAGGGGAAACAACAACAUUUGUAGCACAUUCUCAUCUAGCUGUACCACAAAGUGCAUUUGUUUCUCAGACGUCUUGGCGUCAUUGACAGCAAGAAACCACAUCCUGUAAUUCAGUGCACUGUGUUAAGUAACAUGGUGCUCACGUUUGCU
RNAcentral lists this long non-coding RNA (1103 nucleotides) under Sinocyclocheilus grahami. RNAcentral's name for it is "lncRNA (ENSSGRG00000028801.1)". The record is from RNAcentral. Lineage: Eukaryota; Metazoa; Chordata; Actinopteri; Cypriniformes; Cyprinidae.